ACCUUUUCUGGAAGAUUAUGAAUGGACUGUUCACUGCUGAGCUCUAUACUGUCAUAUUUCAUUGGCAUGUGAAAUAAAAGUUUUAUAUGUAACUCUGCAUGAAUAUGUAGGACUGAUCCCUGCUGUGUGCAUAUAGUGGAUGCAGUACUCAUGUCUGCUUGCAGUUUGCUCUAUUCUGUUCUAUACAAUUGACAUGUUGAAUAACAGUUUUAUUGUACGUCUGGAGGAUUAUGAAUGGACUGUUCCCUGCUGUGGGCAUAUCGUGGAUGCAUUACUCUAUCUGCUGGCAGGGAAAUUAAAUAGAGCUGAUAACUUACUCAGCUCCCUACUCCCACUGGAC
Non-coding RNA from Pelobates cultripes (western spadefoot toad), 340 nucleotides. The record is from the annotation of a GenBank genome assembly. Lineage: Eukaryota; Metazoa; Chordata; Amphibia; Anura; Pelobatidae.